This 253-nucleotide ribosomal RNA is filed under the name uncultured bacterium. Its description in RNAcentral is "partial 16S ribosomal RNA". It matches the Rfam family "Bacterial small subunit ribosomal RNA", at positions 524 to 776 of the family's 1533-position model. The record is from RNAcentral.
UACAGAGGUCUCAAGCGUUGUUCGGAUUCAUUGGGCGUAAAGAGCUCGUAGGCGGCUGUUCAAGUCGAACGUGAAAACUCGGAGCUCAACUCCGAGCCUGCGUUCGAUACUGGACGGCUAGAGUCUGGUAGGGGGAUCUGGAAUUCCUGGUGUAGCGGUGAAAUGCGCAGAUAUCAGGAAGAACACCCGUGGCGAAAGCGGCUCUCUGGGACGGUACUGACGCUGAGACGCGAAAGCGUGGGGAGCGAACAGG